UACGGGGGGGGCAAGCGUUGUUCGGAAUUACUGGGCGUAAAGGGCUCGUAGGUGGCCAACUAAGUCAUACGUGAAAUCCCUCGGCUUAACCGGGGAACUGCGUCUGAUACUGGAUGGCUUGAGUUCGGGAGAGGGAUGCGGAAUUCCAGGUGUAGCGGUGAAAUGCGUAGAUAUCUGGAGGAACACCGGUGGCGAAGGCGGCAUCCUGGACCGAUACUGACGCUGAGGAGCGAAAGCCAGGGGAGCAAACGGG
This 253-nucleotide ribosomal RNA is filed under the name uncultured bacterium. Its description in RNAcentral is "partial 16S ribosomal RNA". It matches the Rfam family "Bacterial small subunit ribosomal RNA", at positions 524 to 776 of the family's 1533-position model. The record is from RNAcentral.